RNAcentral lists this ribosomal RNA (584 nucleotides) under Cystofilobasidium infirmominiatum. RNAcentral's name for it is "partial large subunit ribosomal RNA". It matches the Rfam family "Eukaryotic large subunit ribosomal RNA", at positions 37 to 610 of the family's 3401-position model. Lineage: Eukaryota; Fungi; Basidiomycota; Tremellomycetes; Cystofilobasidiales; Cystofilobasidiaceae. The record is from RNAcentral.
UGCAUAUCAAUAAGCGGAGGAAAAGAAACUAACAAGGAUUCCCCUAGUAACGGCGAGUGAAGCGGGAAGAGCUCAAAUUUAAAAUCUGGCAGGCUACGCUUGUCCGAAUUGUAAUCUCGAGAAGUGUUUUCCGCGUUGGCCUGUGUACAAGUCCCUUGGAACAGGGCGUCAUAGAGGGUGAGAAUCCCGUCCUUGACACAGACACCCAAUGCUUUGUGAUACACUCUCAAUGAGUCGAGUUGUUUGGGAAUGCAGCUCAAAAUGGGUGGUAAAUUCCAUCUAAAGCUAAAUACUGGCGAGAGACCGAUAGCGAACAAGUACCGUGAGGGAAAGAUGAAAAGCACUUUGGAAAGAGAGUCAAACAGUACGUGAAAUUGUUGAAAGGGAAACGAUUGAAGUCAGUCGUGCCUGCCUAGAUUCAGCCUUCUGGUGUAUUUCUAGGUCGGCAGGUCAGCAUCAGUUUGGGGGGGUUAACAAGGGAGCUGGGAAUGUGGCAACCUCGGUUGUGUUAUAGCCCAGUUUCGCAUUGAUCUCGCUGGACUGAGGAACGCAGUGCGCCCGCAAGGGUUGGUCUUCGGACACAU